Molecule: ribosomal RNA, 361 nt
Filed under: Pseudomonas fulva
Lineage: Bacteria; Pseudomonadati; Pseudomonadota; Gammaproteobacteria; Pseudomonadales; Pseudomonadaceae
Description: bacterial SSU rRNA
Rfam family: Bacterial small subunit ribosomal RNA
Source: RNAcentral
GGCCAAGAAAGCUGGCGGCAGGCCUAACACAUGCAAGUCGAGCGGAUGACGGGAGCUUGCUCCUUUUUUCAGCGGCGGACGGGUGAGUAAUGCCUAGGAAUCUGCCUGGUAGUGGGGGACAACGUUUCGAAAGGAACGCUAAUACCGCAUACGUCCUACGGGAGAAAGCAGGGGACCUUCGGGCCUUGCGCUAUCAGAUGAGCCUAGGUCGGAUUAGCUAGUUGGUGAGGUAAUGGCUCACCAAGGCGACGAUCCGUAACUGGUCUGAGAGGAUGAUCAGUCACACUGGAACUGAGACACGGUCCAACUCCUACGGGAGGCAACAUGGGGAAUAUUGGACAAUGGGCGAAACCCCGAACCA